This 73-nucleotide transfer RNA is filed under the name Candidatus Levybacteria bacterium RIFCSPHIGHO2_01_FULL_40_83. RNAcentral describes it as "tRNA-Arg". It matches the Rfam family "tRNA". From Rfam's summary of the family: Transfer RNA (tRNA) molecules are approximately 80 nucleotides in length. Their secondary structure includes four short double-helical elements and three loops (D, anti-codon, and T loops). The record is from RNAcentral. Lineage: Bacteria; Candidatus Levyibacteriota. RNAcentral also lists the same sequence under 10 other names.
GCGCCUGUAGCUCAAUGGAUAGAGCACCUGGCUUCGGACCAGGGGGUUGGGGGUUCGACUCCCUUCAGGCGCG